CCUACGGGAGGCUGCAGUGAGGAAUAUUGGUCAAUGGACGAGAGUCUGAACCAGCCAAGUAGCGUGAAGGAUGACUGCCCUAUGGGUUGUAAACUUCUUUUAUAUGGGAAUAAAAUGUUCCACGUGUGGGAUUUUGUAUGUACCAUAUGAAUAAGGAUCGGCUAACUCCGUGCCAGCAGCCGCGGUAAUACGGAGGAUGCGAGCGUUAUCCGGAUUUAUUGGGUUUAAAGGGAGCGUAGGUGGAUUGUUAAGUCAGGUGUGAAAGUUUGCGGCUCAACCGUAAAAUUGCAGUUGAAACUGGCAGUCUUGAGUACAGUAGAGGUGGGCGGAAUUCGUGGUGUAGCGGUGAAAUGCUUAGAUAUCACGAAGAACUCCGAUUGCGAAGGCAGUUCACUGGACUGCAACUGACACUGAGGCUCGAAAGUGUGGGUAUCAAACAGGAUUAGAUACCCCAGUAGUC
Molecule: ribosomal RNA, 460 nt
Filed under: uncultured bacterium
Lineage: Bacteria
Description: partial 16S ribosomal RNA
Rfam family: Bacterial small subunit ribosomal RNA
Source: RNAcentral